This 140-nucleotide unclassified non-coding RNA is filed under the name Vishniacozyma foliicola. RNAcentral describes it as "partial internal transcribed spacer 2". The record is from RNAcentral. RNAcentral also lists the same sequence under 1 other name. Lineage: Eukaryota; Fungi; Basidiomycota; Tremellomycetes; Tremellales; Bulleribasidiaceae.
AACCUCACCCCACUUGGGUUUUUGCCCGAGCGGUGGUGGAUUGGGUGUUUGCCGUCACUGGCUCACCUUAAAAGCAUAAGCAACUUUGGAUGUAAUACGUUUCAUCCUUCUAAGUGGCUGAUAACCCCACAUAUCUCAUG